Molecule: ribosomal RNA, 253 nt
Filed under: uncultured bacterium
Lineage: Bacteria
Description: partial 16S ribosomal RNA
Rfam family: Bacterial small subunit ribosomal RNA
Source: RNAcentral
UACGUAGGGUGCAAGCGUUAAUCGGAAUCACUGGGCGUAAAGGGCGCGUAGGCGGCCGAUCAAGUCGGGGGUGAAAGCCUGUGGCUCAACCACAGAAUUGCCUUCGAUACUGUUUGGCUUGAGACCGGAAGAGGUUAGUGGAACUGCGAGUGUAGAGGUGAAAUUCGUAGAUAUUCGCAAGAACACCAGUGGCGAAGGCGGCUGACUGGUCCGGUUCUGACGCUGAGGCGCGAAAGCGUGGGGAGCAAACAGG